Molecule: non-coding RNA, 119 nt
Filed under: Hydrogenovibrio marinus
Lineage: Bacteria; Pseudomonadati; Pseudomonadota; Gammaproteobacteria; Thiotrichales; Piscirickettsiaceae
Description: TPP sequence
Rfam family: TPP riboswitch aptamer (THI element)
About the family: Vitamin B(1) in its active form thiamin pyrophosphate (TPP) is an essential coenzyme that is synthesised by coupling of pyrimidine and thiazole moieties in bacteria.
Source: Rfam by way of RNAcentral
UCACAUCUCUCGGGGUGCGAAGUUCUUUUUUCAAAAAGAACAGAGCUGAGACUGCGCAAGCUAAACCCGUUGAACUUGAACUGGUUAAGACCAGCGUAGGGAAGAGAACUCCAAGUCAA